Molecule: ribosomal RNA, 497 nt
Filed under: uncultured bacterium
Lineage: Bacteria
Description: partial 16S ribosomal RNA
Rfam family: Bacterial small subunit ribosomal RNA
Source: RNAcentral
GAUGAACGCUGGCGGCGUGCCUAAUACAUGCAAGUCGAGCGAACAGAUGAGGAGCUUGCUCCUCUGACGUUAGCGGCGGACGGGUGAGUAACACGUGGAUAUCCUACCUAUAAGACUGGGAUAACUUCGGGAAACCGGAGCUAAUACCGGAUAAUAUAUUGAACCGCAUGGUUCAAUAGUGAAAGACGGUUUUGCUGUCACUUAUAGAUGGAUCCGCGCCGCAUUAGCUAGUUGGUAAGGUAACGGCUUACCAAGGCAACGAUGCGUAGCCGACCUGAGAGGGUGAUCGGCCACACUGGAACUGAGACACGGUCCAGACUCCUACGGGAGGCGGCAGUAGGGAAUCUUCCGCAAUGGGCGAAAGCCUGACGGAGCAACGCCGCGUGAGUGAUGAAGGUCUUCGGAUCGUAAAACUCUGUUAUUAGGGAAGAACAAAUGUGUAAGUAACUAUGCACGUCUUGACGGUACCUAAUCAGAAAGCCACGGCUAACUACGUG